GGGGCGGUCUCCUCCCAAAGCGUAACGGAGGAGUACGAAGGUACGCUAGGUACGGUCGGAAAUCGUGCUGAUAGUGCAAUGGCAUAAGCGUGCUUAACUGCGAGACCGACAAGUCGAGCAGGUGCGAAAGCAGGUCAUAGUGAUCCGGUGGUUCUGUAUGGAAGGGCCAUCGCUCAACGGAUAAAAGGUACUCUGGGGAUAACAGGCUGAUACCGCCCAAGAGUUCAUAUCGACGGCGGUGUUUGGCACCUCGAUGUCGGCUCAUCUCAUCCUGGGGCUGUAGCCGGUCCCAAGGGUAUGGCUGUUCGCCAUUUAAAGAGGUACGUGAGCUGGGUUUAAAACGUCGUGAGACAGUUUGGUCCCUAUCUGCCGUGGGCGUUGGAUAUUUGAAGGGGGCUGCUCCUAGUACGAGAGGACCGGAGUGGACGAACCUCUGGUGUACCGGUUGUGACGCCAGUCGCAUCGCCGGGUAGCUAUGUUCGGAAGAGAUAACCGCUGAAAGCAUCUAAGCGGGAAACUCGCCUUAAGAUGAGAUAUCCCUGGAGGCUUGACCUCCUUGAAGGGUCGUUCGAGACCAGGACGUUGAUAGGUCGGGUGUGUAAGCGCAGUAAUGCGUUCAGCUAACCGAUACUAAUUGCCCGUAAGGCUUGAUCCUAUAACA
Molecule: ribosomal RNA, 661 nt
Filed under: Burkholderia ubonensis
Lineage: Bacteria; Pseudomonadati; Pseudomonadota; Betaproteobacteria; Burkholderiales; Burkholderiaceae
Description: bacterial LSU rRNA
Rfam family: Bacterial large subunit ribosomal RNA
Source: RNAcentral